GAUGAACGCUAGCGGCAGGCCUAACACAUGCAAGUCGAGGGGUAGAAGUUGCUUGCAACUUUGAGACCGGCGCACGGGUGCGUAACGCGUAUGCAAUCUGCCUUGUACUGAGGGAUAGCCCAGAGAAAUUUGGAUUAAUACCUCAUAGCAUUAUGAUGUUGCAUCACAUUAUAAUUAAAGUUCCAACGGUACAAGAUGAGCAUGCGUCCCAUUAGUUAGUUGGUAAGGUAACGGGUUACCAAGACGAUGAUGGGUAGGGGUCCUGAGAGGGAGAUCCCCCCCGCUGGUACUGUGACACGGACCAGACUCCUACGGGAGGCAGCAGUGAGGAAUAUUGUUCAAUGGGCGCAAGCCUGAACCAGCCAUGCCGCGUGCAGGAUGACGCAUCUAUGGUGUGUAAACUGCUUUUGUACAGGAAGAAACACUCCCUCGUGAGGGAGCUUGACGGUACUGUAAGAAUAAGGAUCGGCUAACUCCGUGCCAGCCGCCGCCGUAA
Molecule: ribosomal RNA, 496 nt
Filed under: uncultured bacterium
Lineage: Bacteria
Description: partial 16S ribosomal RNA
Rfam family: Bacterial small subunit ribosomal RNA
Source: RNAcentral